CUAAAAUAUAAUUAGUUAAUCUCGAUUUUUCGGGUAAAAUCAGGUCCAUCUGUAUGGAAAGGUGUUUUCGUUUGAGCACAUCGUGUUUGUUUGGUGUGGCAUGCUCAAUGUCACACACAUAAACAAAAGAUUCACGAACCCGCUCCUUGAAGUCAGCACUGUCUGUAUCUGGUCUGUUUACUUCAGUCGCAGCUGAAUCCACCGUGAAUACAACAAGUCGGUAAGAGCCAAGUGGAGGCUGGAGGAAAUUGCUUCAUCUGUAGAGUGGUUUGGACGGUAUGCAAACUGAAGCGUAUCGAG
Molecule: long non-coding RNA, 300 nt
Organism: Carassius auratus (goldfish)
Lineage: Eukaryota; Metazoa; Chordata; Actinopteri; Cypriniformes; Cyprinidae
Exons: 3
Source: RefSeq, a predicted model, not a curated record